This 309-nucleotide ribosomal RNA is filed under the name Triticum aestivum (bread wheat). RNAcentral's name for it is "partial small subunit ribosomal RNA". Lineage: Eukaryota; Viridiplantae; Streptophyta; Magnoliopsida; Poales; Poaceae. The record is from RNAcentral.
AUGUUGUCCUAUUUGCUGGCAUUUCCUCUUUUUGUCCUUCCCGUUCUGCUUCUUCACUAUCCGGGUUAUCUGCCAUAUCUUCCGUCUUCAUGUAACCCACCCUUGGAGCCCGAUCUGCCACAACAAAAUUACUUUGUUAAAUUUCCUAAGCAAUGGUUUUUUCUAUUUGACACACCAUCGUUACAAUUUAUACCCGUUUGCUCUGGCCCUGUGUUGGCCGAGGUGUUUGGACUGCUUAUGGUUAGGUCAAUCAAUGGCACUGCAACAACUGAUAGUUUUCAUAUGUUAGUGUUCUUAAUUUUUAGAUAA